GCAAGUCGAACGCGAAAGUCCCCUUCGGGGGGCAAGUAGAGUGGCGCACGGGUGAGUAACACGUAGGUAAUCUACCUUUGGAUGGGGAAUAACAACCGGAAACGGUUGCUAAUACCGCAUAAUGCAGCGGCACCUAAUGGUGACAGUUGUUAAAGCGGGGGAUCGCAAGACCUCGCGUCUGAAGAGGAGCCUGCGGCAGAUUAGCUAGUUGGUAAGGUAACGGCUUACCAAGGCGAUGAUCUGUAGCCGGCCUGAGAGGGCGGUCGGCCACACUGACACUGACACACGGGUCAGACUCCUACGGGAGGCAGCAGUCGGGAAUUUUGGGCAAUGGGCGAAAGCCUGACCCAGCAACGCCGCGUGAAGGAUGAAAUCCCUCGGGAUGUAAACUUCGCAAGAGCAGGAAGAAUAAGUAAGAGUUAACAUCUCUUACGAUGACGGUACUGUUUGUAAGCUCCGGCUAACUCCGUGCCAGCAGCCGCGGUAAUACGGGGGGAGCAAGCGUUGUUCGGAUUUACUGGGCGUAAAGGGCGCGUAGGCGGCCACCGCAAGUCGACUGUGAAAUCUCCGGGCUUAACCCGGAAAGGUCAGCCGAUACUGCGGGGCUAGAGUGCAGAAGGGGCAACUGGAAUUCUCGGUGUAGCGGUGAAAUGCGUAGAUAUCGAGAGGAACACCUGCGGCGAAGGCGGGUUGCUGGGCUGACACUGACGCUGAGGCGCGAAAGCUAGGGGAGCGAACGGGAUUAGAUACCCCGGUAGUCCUAGCCUUAAACGAUGAAUGCUUGGUGUCU
Molecule: ribosomal RNA, 790 nt
Filed under: uncultured Actinomycetes bacterium
Lineage: Bacteria; Bacillati; Actinomycetota; Actinomycetes
Description: bacterial SSU rRNA
Rfam family: Bacterial small subunit ribosomal RNA
Source: RNAcentral